AUGAUGUUUCAGGUGCCAUGUCGUGUGUCAUCGGCAUAGAUAAGCGGGAAGCUGGUCGAAUGCUGGCGCUGUCACACAACGUCAUGGAACUGUGAAUCUUGACUUAUGCCGUGGGGAGAGGAGCCCGGCAUGGCUCGUCUUUCUGCA
Molecule: non-coding RNA, 147 nt
Filed under: Rhizobium oryziradicis
Lineage: Bacteria; Pseudomonadati; Pseudomonadota; Alphaproteobacteria; Hyphomicrobiales; Rhizobiaceae
Source: RNAcentral